AGUCUCCUCAGGGUCAGGCAUCCUCUCCGACUACUCCCUCAGCUGCAGAUCCCCACCCUCCUCUGAAUCCCAGUGGCCUUCGGCUUCAACAGAAGUUCACUGAAUGUCUGUUAAGGAUCAGACCUGUGUGCUGAGGAUUCAAAAUCAUGUAAGACUGCCUGCGUUCCUCCCGACUUAAACAAAGGCCUCCAGCAGCUUCCCACAUCCCCUGCCAACCCCCGGGGUCCUGGACCUUACUUUUCCCUUCGCUAUCCCGCAGCUCCGUUUCACCUUUUCCCCCACCUUGAUACCCCAUCGCCCCUACAACCGCCUCCCCGAAGGACACCUUGACCAGAGAACACAGCAAACAAGCCCGUAGAUGCCGUAAGUCCUUCGGCACCGUCUCCAGGGCCAUCCUCUCCGACAAAUGAACAGCAAAGAUUUGGGCCACGGCCUCCUCAGCCGCAGGAAGUAAACAGCGAUUUACCCAGAAUGCCUUCCACUUCCGGUUUUCCGCACUUCCUGUUCCGGUAUGGGGAGCCGCGGACUCACGCCUUUCUCUCUCUCUCUCUCUCUCUCUCUCUCUCUCCCCCGGCCCCCCCCCCCGGUCAAGGAGAUGGUUUCUCCCGCCUGGAGGCGGGGCCGGCCGGGAGUCACCUGGGCCGGCGCGCGCACCCGCCACCUGGGCGGGCGCGAGGGCGAGGCCGGGAAGGCAGUUGCGCCUGUGGGUAGGGCCCGUGGGGGAGGGGUGGCGCGGCUGGCGCCUGCGCGGGAGCGCGCCGCGGCUCCGGCCGGAACUCCCGGCGGGGCGGGCCGUUUGAUCUAGGCCGCUGGCAGCCGGCCGCCGGUCCCCUUAGGAGGAUCCCAGAUGUCAGCCGAGAUUCUUUUUUGUCUUCCCGUUUUAAAAGCGCAGGGCCAGAGUCCACUGUCUCCAUCUGGAUUAUCUCUGCAGAGAGGAAAAUCAGGGACGGCCCCUUUCUUUCCUGAGAGCAGUAAAGGGUUUCCAUUCGCCGUCCACGGGAAUGCUGGCUUGUGAGCCCAUGGCGGAUACCAGGCCCAUUAUUUUUGAAAACUCUUUACGUACUUUCCUUGUUCCAGCUGAUAAUUUGUUUCGUGCAGCAUUUAGACACAGGUCCUUUACUUCAGAAUAUCUGUAGGGGAUUGGAGAUUGUGUUUUGUUUUGUUUUGAUUUCACCCUAUAGCAAGCUGGAUGUUUCUUUGCUCUCCUGUUCAAAACUGGGCAACAGACAAUGACCACCCCCUAGGAAACCUGUCCUGGAGAAGCAGAGGGGGAAAUGUGCUUUGUGAGGAUGAGAGCAGAGGCUGCCCCAGGCUCUGUGGAAUUCAUACCAACAUAGCACCAGCUCUUGAUCCUCAACCAUAGUCCCGUGGGGAGGCAGAGCACAGUCAUUUGUGUUUGUCAGAAUUGGAGCUCUGGGAUAGUUUCAGUAGUUUCAGGCCCUACUGUUCUAUCCUCCCAACCAGGCGUCCCAACUGAAACAGAGCUUUUUCAAGGGGGG
RNAcentral lists this long non-coding RNA (1499 nucleotides) under Lynx pardinus (Iberian lynx). Lineage: Eukaryota; Metazoa; Chordata; Mammalia; Carnivora; Felidae. The record is from RNAcentral.